UACGUAGGGGGCAAGCGUUGUCCGGAAUUAUUGGGCGUAAAGAGCGUGUAGGCGGUUCAGUAAGUCUGCUGUGAAAGUCCAGGGCUCAACCCUGGGAUGCCGGUGGAUACUGCUGGGCUAGAGUACGGAAGAGGCGAGUGGAAUUCCCGGUGUAGCGGUGAAAUGCGCAGAUAUCGGGAGGAACACCUAUUGCGAAGGCAGCUCGCUGGGACGUUACUGACGCUGAGACGCGAAAGCGUGGGGAGCAAACAGG
RNAcentral lists this ribosomal RNA (253 nucleotides) under uncultured bacterium. Its description in RNAcentral is "partial 16S ribosomal RNA". It matches the Rfam family "Bacterial small subunit ribosomal RNA", at positions 524 to 776 of the family's 1533-position model. The record is from RNAcentral.